Molecule: unclassified non-coding RNA, 283 nt
Filed under: Hevea brasiliensis (rubber tree)
Lineage: Eukaryota; Viridiplantae; Streptophyta; Magnoliopsida; Malpighiales; Euphorbiaceae
Source: RNAcentral
UUCAGAAUUCAUCAGGUUUGUAACAAGCAGUUUUAUUUCAUUUCAACAAACAUGAUUUAAUCUUGCAUUUCAGGAUGUAAAAAUUUCAUUUUAUUGAAUUUUAGAUUUGUUUGAUUCGAUUGAUAUCUACCAAGAACAGUGAAGUUAGGUAAAGGAAUAAACAAGUUAACUAACAUUUUUAACAUAUAACGUACACAAGAAUCAAACAAAAACUAAAAUACAUUAAUUUCUGUAUUUCUUGAUGCAGUUUGCUGGAGGUUUUGAUGCAGAAACAAUGCAUGCA